AUACCUUUCUCGGCCUUUUGGCUAAGAUCAAGUGUAGUAUCUGUUCUUAUCAGUUUAAUAUCUGAUACGUGGGCCAUCGGCCCACAUGAUAUUAAAUUAAUUUUUCAAGGGGGAGAGCCCACUAUGGUAGCUUGCUACCCGGGCUCUCAAGCGUCGCCCAAGUGUUGCAGUAUUGCUCGGGCCUGGCGCACUCCUC
Small nuclear RNA from Cucurbita moschata (crookneck pumpkin), 196 nucleotides. RefSeq annotates it as U2 spliceosomal RNA. NCBI's taxonomy places the organism in Eukaryota, Viridiplantae, Streptophyta, Magnoliopsida, Cucurbitales, Cucurbitaceae. The transcript has a single exon. The record is from RefSeq and is a predicted model, not a curated record.